Long non-coding RNA from Salvia miltiorrhiza (redroot sage), 842 nucleotides. RefSeq lists it as uncharacterized. The transcript has 2 exons. NCBI's taxonomy places the organism in Eukaryota, Viridiplantae, Streptophyta, Magnoliopsida, Lamiales, Lamiaceae. The record is from RefSeq and is a predicted model, not a curated record.
ACAAAAUUUCAGACCGUUUUGACAACGUUUACUAUUGUUCAAAAAUCAAACUUUUCGGUUGCUAAAAACUGCCGAUUAUGGUAGACUGUAGUAAAACAGUCAUAUCUCCUAAAAUACUUGGAGUUUUUGAUCCUACUUUUUUUUAAAUGAAACUAGACUCGAAGAGGUUUCUUUUGGUAUGAGUUACGACCCCAGGAGAGUUCUGUACAGAGUCUGGUGAGGUUUUAAAGUUGAGUCAGUGCAGAGUAAAGCUUGUUUUCGACUUGUCUAUGUGUGUUUUAAUAUGCCUAAGUGUUUAUACUUGUUUAUGUGCUUGUUUGCUAUAAGUUUGAGUCGAGUUGAGAGUUAAGUCGAAAAUUGGACGUGUGAAUCCUUAGAAGCCAAGUAUACCUAGGGAUUGAGUUUUAACGGGUAAAUAGACGUUGAGUGAGAAGUUAGAGUAAAGUUGAGAUUGGAUUUAGAAUUUGAGUUUCUGACUAAGGUUUGUUUUAUCACAUGAACCUUCGAUGACGAUGACGAUGUGAUGAUGACGUAUGAAGGCCCGAGCGAGACGAAGAAGUAAGUUGCCUGAUUUCUUUCCAGAAUAAGCGAAGGACUUCAGGCUAAGCUGGGAGUGAGAUUGGACUGGUGCUGAUGGGGGAGAGUUUCAAAUGAUGUAAAUUAAAUUACUAUUUUGCCUCUAUGAUAAUAGAGUCUUGAUGUUUGAAUUACUUAGUUUCUUUUGAGAUCAAGCAAUACACUCACGGUUAUGUGUCUUCAUACAUAUAAUCGGUUCGCCUUUUGCUGCGAUACUCUGCAAAUUAUGCUUCCUUAUGAAAAAUGAACUAUACGCGUUUUGUUUU